GAGGGGCAGCGGGGUUGUAGCAAUACAACUGCCGGCGACCGGCGCACGGGUGAGUAACACGUAUGUAACCUGCCCUCUGCAGGGGGAUAAGCGGAAGAAAUUCCGUCUAAUACCGCAUAAUACAAUUUGGAGACAUCUCCGGGUUGUCAAAGGAGUGAUCCGGCAGAGGAUGGACAUGCGGCGCAUUAGCUAGUCGGCGGGGUAACGGCCCACCGAGGCUACGAUGCGUAGGGGUUCUGAGAGGAAGGUCCCCACACUGGUACUGAGACACGGACCAGACUCCUACGGGAGGCAGCAGUGAGGAAUAUUGGUCAAUGGGCGGAAGCCUGAACCAGCCAAGUCGCGUGAGGGAAGACGGUCCUAUGGAUUGUAAACCUCUUUUGCAGGGGAGCAAGGCGCGGUACGUGUACCGCGAAGGAGAGUACCCUGAGAAAAAGCAUCGGCUAACUCCGUGCCAGCAGCCGCGGUAAUACGGAGGAUGCGAGCGUUAUCCGGAUUUAUUGGGUUUAAAGGGUGCGCAGGCGGACUGUUAAGUCAGCGGUAAAAUGUCGGUGCUCAACACCGGCCGGCCGUUGAAACUGGCAGCCUUGAGUGAG
This 596-nucleotide ribosomal RNA is filed under the name uncultured bacterium. Its description in RNAcentral is "bacterial SSU rRNA". It matches the Rfam family "Bacterial small subunit ribosomal RNA", at positions 64 to 650 of the family's 1533-position model. The record is from RNAcentral.